ACGACUCUCGGCAACGGAUAUNNNGGCUCUCGCAUCGAUGAAGAACGUAGCGAAAUGCGAUACUUGGUGUGAAUUGCAGAAUCCCGUGAACCAUCGAGUCUUUGAACGCAAGUUGCGCCCGAAGCCGUCAGGCCAAGGGCACGUCUGCCUGGGUGUCACGCA
RNAcentral lists this ribosomal RNA (162 nucleotides) under Ochradenus aucheri. Its description in RNAcentral is "5.8S ribosomal RNA". It matches the Rfam family "5.8S ribosomal RNA". Rfam says of the family: 5.8S ribosomal RNA (5.8S rRNA) is a component of the large subunit of the eukaryotic ribosome. It is transcribed by RNA polymerase I as part of the 45S precursor that also contains 18S and 28S rRNA. The record is from RNAcentral. Lineage: Eukaryota; Viridiplantae; Streptophyta; Magnoliopsida; Brassicales; Resedaceae.